CAAACCUGUGGCCCUGGACCCGCUGGUGGGACACUGCGGGUGGGAGCGGGGUACAAUCCCACCACCAACCUGCGGCUGGGUUCAGCUGCCCUCCCAUCAGAAGGCCCCCACAGUCCCAAGCCGGGCCGAGGUGUAACCUUUGCAGUCUUCACUCUGGAGCAAUUUCUCAGCCUUACUAUUCCUUUUCUUGCGUGAUCCCUGCAAUCAAAGCCGGCUGCAGCCAAAUGACCCAGGGCCACAUGCAUGUUAAAAGCCUCCCCACCAGGCAGCUACUGAGUUUUCCUUUGAAGGGCAGAGCACUCGCAGCCACAGUGCCCCAUGCCACCCCGAAACCCGCAACCCCCCCGAGUCCAGUGGCACCGCUGAGCCCUGGUUCGGAGCAGCCGGAGGAAACUGAGUCAGGGUGAGGGCAGGGGCUUGGCCCAGAGCUGCAGCCCAUGCACCUCCCGCUGCUGGGGCUCUCCUUCCUCUGAAAGCUCAGAGAUCUGUUUGCCCAGAGCAAAGGGAAGAGCAUGAGGGUAUUUGUGUAAAUUAGGUCAGGAAGCAUUGAUAAUAAACUGUCACUUCUGGUUGUGUAAUGGGAGCAAUUACGCGUUUAGGCCUUGUUAAGACAUCGGCAAGGAAAACAUGGUUUGUCUGGGAUAGGAGGAGUGUGAUGGCAAACAAAAAGGAGGGUCCUGUUGACACAAGGAUGAAGCUGCCAUUGCAUUGGAGGCAUUUCUGUUCCAUCCUGGUGCACCAGCAGCCUGGGGCUUGGAUUGACUCCCAUACAGGGCGACGCAGGGGGAUGCAGGACGCAGCAGAAGGCCGGGAACAGGCUCCGGGCUCUCCCUCGGCUCUGCUCCUUCCCCCAGGCACCCCACGGCUCCAGGAACUCAGGGACAAACAGCCAAAGGAAGUCAGUGGCAGAUUCUUGCUCCAUUGAAGUCAUCGAGCUGAGACAUGACAUUGUCCUGGACCACCCGCUUGAAUCAAAAACACAAGUUAUUGGGCUCAACGUGAGAAGAAUUGGGUGAAAUUCUCUGGCCUGCGAACAAGGGAGGUCAUACAGGAAGAUUUAAUGGGAUCUUCUGGCCUGGAAAUCCACAGAAGUAUCCUUGGUUGUCGCUGUUCGUGCGCAGCUGAAGCCCCCCUCGCGUCAUGUUGCAAAUAAUGAAAUAAAACUCUCAAUAAGCUGAA
Long non-coding RNA from Columba livia (rock pigeon), 1179 nucleotides. RefSeq lists it as uncharacterized. The record is from RefSeq and is a predicted model, not a curated record. NCBI's taxonomy places the organism in Eukaryota, Metazoa, Chordata, Aves, Columbiformes, Columbidae. The transcript is spliced from 2 exons.